This 305-nucleotide ribosomal RNA is filed under the name uncultured bacterium. Its description in RNAcentral is "bacterial SSU rRNA". It matches the Rfam family "Bacterial small subunit ribosomal RNA", at positions 334 to 655 of the family's 1533-position model. The record is from RNAcentral.
CUUUCCUACGGGACGCAGCAGUGGGGAAUAUUGCACAAUGGGGGAAACCCUGAUGCAGCAACGCCGCGUGAGUGAGGAAGUAUUUCGGUAUGUAAAGCUCUAUCAGCAGGGAAUAGAAAAGAAGGUACCUGAAAAAGAAGCUCCGGCUAACUACGUGCCAGCAGCCGCGGUAAUACGUAGGGGGCAAGCGUUAUCCGGAUUUACUGGGUGUAAAGGGAGCGUAGACGGAAAGGCAAGUCAGAAGUGAAAACCCAAGGCUCAACCAUGGGACUGCUUUUGAAACUGAGUAGCUAGAGUGCAGGAGG